Non-coding RNA from Camelina sativa (false flax), 1248 nucleotides. The record is from RefSeq and is a predicted model, not a curated record. Lineage: Eukaryota; Viridiplantae; Streptophyta; Magnoliopsida; Brassicales; Brassicaceae.
UAUAUUCUUAGCUUUUAUCUAAUUAAAAUUAAAUCAAAAAUAGGAAUAAUGCUAAGAAGAACUUCUUAAUUAGGAGGUUUAAGAAACUGUAAGAGUUGUCGACGUGGUCGAUAAUUGUUGGUUGAGAAAAAAGAAAAAAAAUUGUCGAUUAGUUUUUUCUCUUCCUCCAAUCCUCCUCUCUCUCUCCGAAUAUAUUGCAAAACCAGAGAAGAUUUCUCUCAAAAAUCGAUUGCAAGCAGGCGAGAGUGAUUCAAUUUCUGGGUGAGUGGAUUAAUUUGUUGAAUUCUGUUUAGUUAGUUUUGGAUCAGUUCUUUAGAUGGACGUUAAGUGUAGGGUCCUUGAAUCUUGGUAAGUUAUAAUGUGUUAAUUGAUUCCUCUACUAUUAUUGAAGUUGUGGAUUUGAGACUCAUCUUUGGUUUUACUAUAUUGCUUUAUGCAAGAAGCAUGAAAUCCUACCCAACACUACCGUUUUAUACCUUAACGGUUUGAUUACUCUUUCCUUGUCCCGAAUAUCUUUUUAUACCUUAAUCUUUUCUUUUGUGUUCUGUAUUAUUUCUGAAGCUUUCCAUUUUCAUUUUGGUGAUUGGUUUCACUUUCAGGGACGUUUUAUUUCAAGGUUUGAGCAACAAAGUUUUGAAUGUGAUGUCUUUGCAAUUCCAUAAGCGUGUUCUUUGAGGGACGUUUUCUUUCAUUGUUGAAAUGGUGUUUGUUUGAUGUCUCUAAUAGUGAUAGACUGAGUUAUGGAUGUGUUUGGGCUGUGUAGAUAACAUGUGCAGGAGUACUUUAAUGUUUUUGUAUGUUCUGUUUUCUUGAAUGAGUUUCAGUUUAAAUGAGUUUCUGUGUUCUUAAAUGAUGAGGGUUGUGUGUGCUUCCAAGAGUGGUGUAGAGCAUCUUAUUGCAGAAUGGUGGUCUGGAGUUUUACAAGACAGUAGACCUGCAGUUUCUGCAUUUUUUGUUCAAUUGGUGCUAGGGCAAGACAGUGGAUCAAAUGACAAGUUCUGCAACAACAAUUUCCAUCAAGUAAGCUUGGGGACGCUUCAUAUUGAGGGCGGGAGUAUUGAGACUAAUGGUGAGAGAAGGAUCUGAAGAUAUGAUGAAGAUCCUGAUCUAAACUUUCAUUUUGUUCUGCAUCUUCUUUUGUAAUCAGAGAGUUCAUGGUUUUUAUUAAGAGAAAUUGAGUUUUUGUAAUCUUUUAUUUAAUCGUUUAUGGAGGUUUGAAGUUUAUGCAACUCUAAAUUUUCUUUCAAA